This 484-nucleotide ribosomal RNA is filed under the name uncultured bacterium. RNAcentral's name for it is "partial 16S ribosomal RNA". It matches the Rfam family "Bacterial small subunit ribosomal RNA", at positions 30 to 507 of the family's 1533-position model. The record is from RNAcentral.
AUUGAACGCUGGCGGCAGGCCUAACACAUGCAAGUCGAGCGGAUGAACGGAGCUUGCUUCUGGUUUCAGCGUCGCACGGGUGUGUAUUGCCCAGGAAUCUCCCUCGUAGUGGUGUAUAAUGUCCGCAAACGGGCGCUAAUACUGCAUACUUCCUGAGGGAGCAGGUGGGGGACCUUCGGACCUCACGCUCUCUUGUGAGUCUAGGCGGGAGUUGCUAGUUGGUGGGGUAAAGGCCUACUCAGCCGACGAUCCGUAACUGGUCUGCGAGGAUGAUCAGUCACACUGGAACUGAGACACGGUCCAGAGUCCUACGGGAGGGAGCAGUGGGGAAUAUGGGACAAUGGGCGGAAGCCUGAUACAGUGAUGCCGCGUGUGAGAAGAAGGCCUUCGGAGUGUAAAGAAGGUUAAGUGGGUGGGAAGCGCAGUAAGUUAAGACGUAGCUGUUGUGACGGUACCAACAGAAGAAGCACCGGCUAACUUCGUG